RNAcentral lists this ribosomal RNA (440 nucleotides) under uncultured eukaryote. RNAcentral describes it as "bacterial SSU rRNA". It matches the Rfam family "Eukaryotic small subunit ribosomal RNA", at positions 672 to 1114 of the family's 1831-position model. The record is from RNAcentral.
GUGUGUACUGUCUGACUGAGUCUUACCUCUUGGUGAACCGGCGUGCCCUUUAUUGGUGUGCGUCGGGGAACCAGGACUUUUACCUUGAGAAAAUUAGAGUGUUCAAAGCAGGCCUAUGCCUGAAUACAUUAGCAUGGAAUAAUAAAAUAGGACGUCGGUUCUAUUUUGUUGGUUUCUAGAGUCGCCGUAAUGAUUAAUAGGGAUAGUUGGGGGCAUUGGUAUUGAGUCGCUAGAGGUGAAAUUCUUGGAUUGACUCAAGACCGACUAUUGCGAAAGCAUUUGCCAAGGAUGUUUUCAUUAAUCAAGAACGAAGGUUAGGGUAUCGAAAACGAUUAGAAACCGUUGUAGUGUUAGCAGUAAACUAUGCCGACUCCGAAUCGGUCGAUGCUCAUUUCACUGGCUCGAUCGGCGCGGUACGAGAAAUCAAAGUUUUUGGGUUC